This 302-nucleotide ribosomal RNA is filed under the name uncultured bacterium. RNAcentral describes it as "bacterial SSU rRNA". It matches the Rfam family "Bacterial small subunit ribosomal RNA", at positions 35 to 352 of the family's 1533-position model. The record is from RNAcentral.
GCUGGCGGCGUGCCUAAACAUGCAAGUCGAACGGGAAAGGUUCUUCGGGACCGAGUAGAGUGGCGAACGGGUGAGUAACGCGUGGAUAACCUGCCCUGAAGAGGGGGAUAACUCCGCGAAAGCGGGGCUAAUACCGCAUGAGCCCGCAAGGGGAAAGAUGCAAAUCGCUUCAGGAGGGGUCCGCGUCCGAUUAGCUGGUCGGUGAGGUAAAGGCUCACCGAGGCUUCGAUCGGUAGCCGGUCUGAGAGGACGGACGGCCACACUGGGACUGAGACACGGCCCAGACUCCUACGGGAGGCAGC